Molecule: long non-coding RNA, 757 nt
Organism: Pan troglodytes (chimpanzee)
Lineage: Eukaryota; Metazoa; Chordata; Mammalia; Primates; Hominidae
Exons: 2
Source: RefSeq, a predicted model, not a curated record
UCAGACACCGCCUCCUCAAGCCGGACUAUAAAAUAAGGUACAUUUGCGCCAGCCAGUCUUUUCUGCUCAGAAGACCCCUCUCCAUAUGUAGAAAGAGUUGUUUUUCUUUAUCUUCUCUUCUGCCUAUUAAACCUCUGUUCCUAAACUCCUGGUGUGUGUCUGGUCCUAAAUUUCCCUGGCAUGAGACGACGAACCCUAAGGUGACCACCGACUGCAGACUGUAUUAACUGAAACUGGCCACAGCAAUGUUUCCUAUGUGCUUUUCCAGAAUCCUGCCACUUUUCAUCAAGAGCUGAAGUCUAUUCCCCUUCCUUCUCAACCUAGGUGAGACUUUGUGACUAUCUCCAACCUGUAGAAUGAGGUAGAAAUAAUGCUGCAUAACUUCAGAGACUAUGUCAUAAAAGGCCGUAUGGUUUCUGCCUGGUUCUUUUUCUCUUGUGACACUUGCCCUUGGAGACUCUGCCCACUGUGCUGUGAGGAAGCCUAAACUAGCACACAUGGAAAAGGCCACAUGGAGGAGCCCACCUGGAGAGGAACUGAGGCAUCCUUGGAUAAUGGCCAGCAUCAUCUGGCUGAGCCAGACAUGUGCGAACAAGCCUUCAGAACCUAAGUUUAGGUAUUUCCAGUGCCUAGACUUGAAGCUUUCAGCUGAGGCAGCAGACACUGUAGAGCAGAGCCAAGCCAUUUCCACUGUGCCCUGUUCAAAUUCUUGGCCACAGAAUGUAUAAGCAGAAUAAAUGACUGUUUUACCCAUAAA